AUGGCUUCGAUUGCGCCGUCGUCUUCGUCCGUCGCCGUGCUUCGCCGCCAACCGGUGCAGUUCUUGGGAGGCAGUGAUGUGUCCAAGCAGGCAAAGGGAUCAGUUUCUUAUUCUUUUCCCACAAAUUCGAGAAAUGCCAACAUGAAGUCUCUGGGCUUGAAGAUAGCAGCAUCCUUAAAAAAGAAUAGUGGAUUUCCAGCUGAUGGUUGCUUGGAAAAUGAUGACACACUGUCGUUAAAGAGCACUUCUGUGCGAGCCCAGGACCAUCCAACCACAAACUCUGUUAUUCCUGUGGAUUCUGUUGUUGCAGCAGAAAUCAUAUCUACUGAUCUGUCAUGUGUCGUGGACACAUUGUCAAACGAAGAAGACGAUGCUGAACUUGAUCUGGAUAGUCCGACCGAGGGCUUCUCAUCGAUUUCGGAGGCUAUUGAGGACAUUCGACAAGGAAAACUUGUGAUUGUCGUUGAUGACGAAUCAAGAGAAAAUGAAGGUGAUCUUAUAUUGGCUGCUUCUUUGGUUACCCCAGAGGCUAUGGCUUUCAUAGUAAGGCAUAGCACAGGAAUUGUGUGUGUUAGCAUGAAAGAAAAUGAUCUGGAAAGAUUGAACCUUCCUUUGAUGGUUUCAACAAAGGAAAAUGAGGAGAAGCUAUGUACUGCUUUCACCAUUACUGUGGAUGCUAAAGAAGGCACAACAACUGGGGUAUCUGCAAAGGAUAGGGCAAAGACAGUCAUGACUCUUGCAUCCCCUUACUCAAAGCCUGAAGAUUUCAAUCGGCCUGGCCAUAUUUUCCCUCUGAAGUACAGAGACGGGGGUGUUCUCAAACGAGCUGGACACACUGAAGCAUCUGUUGAUCUUGCUGUGCUGGCUGGGUUACCUCCUGUUGGAGUACUCUGUGAGAUUGUGGAUGAGGAUGGCUCCAUGGCUCGCUUACCCAAGCUGCGCUUGUUUGCUGAAAAGAAUAAUUUGAAGAUCGUAUCGAUUGCUGACUUGAUUAGAUAUAGGAGAAAAAGAGACAGACUAAUUGAACGUGCAUCUGUUGCACGCAUACCUUUGAGAUGGGGCAAUGUCCGUGCUUACUGCUACAGAUCUGUUAUUGAUGGGAUCGAGCAUAUCGCAAUGGUGAAAGGUGAGAUUGGAGAUGGUCAAGAUAUUCUUGUGAGGGUCCAUUCUGAGUGUCUCACAGGAGACAUUUUUGGAUCAGCAAGAUGUGAUUGUGGUGACCAGCUUGCAAUGUCAAUGGAGAGGAUUGAGAAGGCCGGAAGGGGUGUACUAGUUUAUCUUCGUGGGCAUGAAGGGAGGGGUAUUGGUCUGGGUCACAAGCUUCGUGCUUAUAACUUACAAGACGAUGGACGUGACACUGUGGAGGCUAAUGAGGAACUAGGACUGCCUGUGGACUCGAGGGAAUAUGGGAUCGGUGCACAGAUAUUACGCGAUCUAGGAGUCCGUUCAAUGAAGUUGAUGACUAACAAUCCUGCCAAAUAUGUUGGUCUGAAGGGUUACGGGUUGAGCAUUGUGGGUAGGGUGCCCUUGGUAACUCCAAUAACCACUGAGAAUCAGAGAUACUUGGAGACCAAAAGAACGAAAAUGGGGCAUGUAUACUCCAAUUGA
Molecule: ribosomal RNA, 1608 nt
Filed under: Triticum aestivum (bread wheat)
Lineage: Eukaryota; Viridiplantae; Streptophyta; Magnoliopsida; Poales; Poaceae
Description: partial small subunit ribosomal RNA
Source: RNAcentral